GAGGGUAUAGCUCAUUGGUAGAGUGCAUACCUAGCAUGCAUGAGGUCCUGGAAUAAAUCCCCAGUACCUCCA
This 72-nucleotide transfer RNA is filed under the name Camelus bactrianus (Bactrian camel). It matches the Rfam family "tRNA". Rfam says of the family: Transfer RNA (tRNA) molecules are approximately 80 nucleotides in length. Their secondary structure includes four short double-helical elements and three loops (D, anti-codon, and T loops). Lineage: Eukaryota; Metazoa; Chordata; Mammalia; Artiodactyla; Camelidae. The record is from Rfam by way of RNAcentral. RNAcentral also lists the same sequence under 2 other names.